RNAcentral lists this ribosomal RNA (434 nucleotides) under uncultured Lachnospiraceae bacterium. RNAcentral describes it as "bacterial SSU rRNA". It matches the Rfam family "Bacterial small subunit ribosomal RNA", at positions 341 to 792 of the family's 1533-position model. The record is from RNAcentral. Lineage: Bacteria; Bacillati; Bacillota; Clostridia; Lachnospirales; Lachnospiraceae.
ACGGGAGGCAGCAGUGGGGAAUAUUGGACAAUGGGGGAAACCCUGAUCCAGCGACGCCGCGUGAGUGAAGAAGUAUUUCGGUAUGUAAAGCUCUAUCAGCAAGGAAGAAAAUGACGGUACUUGACUAAGAAGCCCCGGCUAACUACGUGCCAGCAGCCGCGGUAAUACGUAGGGGGCAAGCGUUAUCCGGAUUUACUGGGUGUAAGGGGAGCGUAGACGGCAUAGCAAGUCUGAAGUGAAAUGCAUGGGCUCAACCCAUGAACUGCUUUGGAAACUGUUAAGCUAGAGUGCAGGAGAGGUAAGUGGAAUUCCUAGUGUAGCGGUGAAAUGCGUAGAUAUUAGGAGGAACACCAGUGGCGAAGGCGGCUUACUGGACUGUAACUGACGUUGAGGCUCGAAAGCGUGGGGAGCAAACAGGAUUAGAUACCCUGGUA